Molecule: unclassified non-coding RNA, 240 nt
Filed under: fungal sp.
Lineage: Eukaryota; Fungi
Description: partial internal transcribed spacer region
Rfam family: Eukaryotic small subunit ribosomal RNA (bases 1-46)
Source: RNAcentral
AAGUCGUAACAAGGUAACCGUAGGUGAACCUGCGGUUGGAUCAUUACUGAAUUAAUAGAAUCGUUAGGCUGAAAGGCCUACGACUCUUGACAUUUUGUGAAUUGUUAAUGUCUCUGGUGGGAGUUUUACCUAAAUUUUUUAGGUUACCCACCAUUUAAACUUUAAAUGUAUUAUUAUUAGCCUUACUUUUUUUAAAUUUUAAUUAAAAAACAACUUUUGGCAACGGAUCUCUAGGCUCUC